Molecule: long non-coding RNA, 1971 nt
Filed under: Capsicum annuum
Lineage: Eukaryota; Viridiplantae; Streptophyta; Magnoliopsida; Solanales; Solanaceae
Description: long non-coding RNA (CANN_LNC020173)
Source: RNAcentral
UGAGGAUGGCAUAUGAAUACUGGGUCUAAAACUAUGUGGUGAAAACUGACUUAACUCAAGAAUCUGAAUAUACAGUUAUACUGAGCAUGAACGAAUAAGCAUACAAAACCAACAUAACAUGUACUAAGUAGAUUUGAUCAACUGAAUGAUUGAUGUCUGUGUGACCGAACAACUAAAAUUUAAGGAAAGGAUAACUAACAUCGAUAUGUUGAGUAGUGGAUAUAUGAAUAUUGAUCAUGUGAAACUGAAUUGUACUUAGUCUGAAUAACUGGACUAAAACUGGGGAAAGGGGGGUACUAUACAGAUGAGAUAAGGACUAACUGAACAACAUGAGAUAACUGAGCAUGAAUGUAUGAAAACUAUAAUAUCUGAGAAUGCAAGACCAAAAGCAUAAGCAUAUUUUUAAAAUAAUUUGUAAACUGAAAGAAUUACAUCUGUAUAACUAAAUAAUAGUAAAUCUGUAUGCUUUGGUCAAACAAACCUGAACUGAAUAUAUACUGAAUACUGUACUGAGAUUAUGGGAGGUAUCAUCUAACCGACAUGCCUCAAUCUGAGUUAAUUGGGGUCCAACCUGUAACCCAGUUGGAAGAGUGUCAGUACCGUGCCACGGGUACUAAUACUGGUUGUGUGGAUCCACUAAACUGGUGCCCCAAAGGACUAACGAGUCACCCUCAACUGGCAACUACCUUAAUGACAUAUGUGUCACCCUCAACUUGCAGGUAGACAUCCCUAAACUACGCUGGCUACGUAGUUCUGGAACUUGGGGAUUGCUACUAAGGGUCAUACCCUCUACUGUCAGGUGAGGUGAGUCCUCAUCCCUGGAUUUGCUCAGUGCUAAAUCCUACUCCCAACUAAACUGACACUGAUAUUGGAAUAGACUGAUGUAACGCUUCGAAUCUGCACCUCGAACGCCACACGGUACUUACGACCCCGAAAGACCACAAGCUAACCCAUGACUGGUACCUGCGGUGAACACUGAAAUAAUAAUACUGAAAUAAUGCAGAAGUUAGGCUGAAAUGCCAUAAGGUUCAUAAUUUGAAUACUAUUAAAUAUAACAUCUGAUAAUAAUAUCUGAACUGAAUACUGUCUGAACUAGUCUAGUCUGAAAAGUCUCUAACUGAACUGUUUGAAUAUGGAGUUGAUGGGACAAGCUCCUAACUAACUCCGACUACUGAAAUAUUGAAGCUGGACCUGUAACUCAGUUGGAAGAGUGUCAGUACCUUGCCACGGAUACUAAUACUGGCUGUGUGGAUCCACUAAACUGGUGCCCCGAAAGACUAACGAGUCACCCUCAACUGGCAGCUACCUUAAUGACAUGUGUCACCCUCAACUUGCAGGUAGACAUCCCUAACCUACGCUGGCUACGUAGUUUUGGAACUUGGGGAUUGCUACCAAGGAUCAUACCCUCUACUGCCAGGUGAGUCCUCAUCCCUGAGUUUGCUCAGUGCUAAAUCCUACUCCCAACUGAACUGACACUGAUACUGGAAUAGACUGAUGUAACGCCUCGAAUCUGCACCCCGGACGCCACACGGUACUUACGACCCCGAAAGACCACAAGCUAACCCAUGACUGGUACCUGCGGUGAGCACUGAAUAAUAAUACUAAAAUAAUGCAAAAGUUAGGCUGAAAUGCCACAAGGUUAAUAAUCUAAAUACUAUUAAAUAUAACAUCUGAUAAUAAAUCUGAAACUGAAUACUGUCUGAACUAGUCUAGUCUGAAAAGCCUCUAACUGAACUGUCUGAAUGUGGAGUUGAUGGGACAAGCUCCCAACUAACUCCGACUACUAAAAUAUUAAAGCUGUUGAAAAUACUGAAUAAAAGCAUAUCCUCGAUAGAUAAGAACUCACUACUAAAACUGUUGCUACUAUUCGAAUCUGUCUAAGCAUGGUUGGGAACCUAAGCGUUCGGACCUAUGAUAUGAGACAUCAUAACGCAAAGAGAAAGUAUGCAUCAGUACAUGGAAUGUACUGGU